UUUUGGGUCAGCCCACCCUCAUGCAUCAAGGAUGUAUUUUUCUUUGCUUGCCAAAUGAAACAACUGUAACACUGGUCCAUCCAUCUCUUUAAUUUUUUGCUGCAGCAAGACAAAGCAGAGGAAAUUACACACUUCCCCAACAAAAAUGGUGCCCUGACUCAGAUUUAACCUGGCUGAAACAACCUCUGCUUGGCCCCUAUGAGGCUGAGGCCAAGCACAGCAGAAGCCCAACUCGGAGAAAGCUCCCACAGUGCAAGCUGAACAUGAAGAAAAUCCAGCGCAGUGGAAGUGACAAGCCCAGCAUGCUGGAAACCAGGACAACAGAAACAAACUCAUCCGAAAGCUCGCACAGUUCAGUCUCUGUUUCCAGGAGACCUCCGGUUAAGAUGGGAAAUAACCAGUCCACUUCCCAACAGAUGCCCUUGAGAUGCAUCCUUGAUAACUGGAAGAUUUUCAAUCCUCUAACUCUAAGGAGAGUAAGUAACUCAACAGGACUGAAGCAGCCCACUCCAGCCGGCCCGCCUGUCACCAUCAUGAGGCUAGAGCCAAGGAUGCAAGUGCAUGAGGCAGGUAGGCCCAAGAAUUUCUUAGUUAACACACGGGCUACCUACUCUGUCCUGCCUUCCUACUCUGGAGCCUUCUCCUCCAAGAUCUG
This 655-nucleotide long non-coding RNA is filed under the name Capra hircus (goat). RNAcentral's name for it is "lncRNA (ENSCHIG00000002666.1)". The record is from RNAcentral. Lineage: Eukaryota; Metazoa; Chordata; Mammalia; Artiodactyla; Bovidae.